UGGGGGAUAUUGCACAAUGGAGGAAACUCUGGUGCAGCAACGCCGCGUGAAGGAUGAAGGUCUUCGGAUUGUAAACUUUUGUACUUGGGGACGAUAAUGACGGUACCCAAGCAGCAAGCUCCGGCUAACUACGUGCCAGCAGCCGCGGUAAUACGUAGGGAGCAAGCGUUGUCCGGAUUUACUGGGUGUAAAGGGUGCGUAGGCGGCUAUGCAAGUCAGUUGUGAAAACUAUGGGCUCAACCCAUAGCCUGCAAUUGAAACUGCGUGGCUUGAGUGAAGUAGAGGUAGGUGGAAUUCCCGGUGUAGCGGUGAAAUGCGUAGAGAUCGGGAGGAACACCAGUGGCGAAGGCGACCUACUGGGCUUUAACUGACGCUGAGGCACGAAAGCAUGGGUAGCAAACAGGAUUAGAUACCCUGGUAGUCCAUGCCGUAAAACG
RNAcentral lists this ribosomal RNA (437 nucleotides) under uncultured bacterium. Its description in RNAcentral is "partial 16S ribosomal RNA". It matches the Rfam family "Bacterial small subunit ribosomal RNA", at positions 355 to 809 of the family's 1533-position model. The record is from RNAcentral.